AAGACCACGUGCAGCAACAUCAGUUGCAACAAGCACAGUGAACUUUCCUUGGCGGAAUCCAUUCAACGUUCUCUCUCUUUGAUGUUGAGAUAUAUCUCCAUGCAAUGCUUCCGAGGCAAUACUAUUACUUAGGGCCAACGAUACCUCGUCUGCAUCCCGCUUAGUUUGUGUGAAAACAAUAGUUUUCCCACCCUUCGCAUAUACCGUGAUUAGGUCACUCAGGAUUGUACGUUUUGAAGUUGAAGUAGUCGGUAUGGCAUAAAGUUUAAUUCCCUCGGCUAGCUUUUCUUCUUGAUCACCUACCAAGUCAAUUGUCAGAGGAUUAUCAAGGUAUCUUCUCGAUAAUUUCUUCACCCAACCAGGCAUUGUAGCAGAGAAAAGCAUGCUCUGGCGCUUAGCUGGCAGCUUUUGCAAUAUAGUUUCAACAUCUUCCUCAAAUCCAACUGCAAGCAUCUGAUCAGCUUCAUCUAGGACCAAAAAUUGAACUUCUCCCAACUGUAGGCUGCCACUGUUAAUCAGAUCGAUGAUCCGACCAGGUGUCCCCACCGCCACAUCGACUCCUCGAGUAAGCGCAUUCUGCUGGACAUUGUAAGAAACUCCUCCAUAGACGCACACUGUACUGAGAUAAGGCGCUGACUCUUUAAUCUCCUUCUCCACUUGUUUGGCCAACUCCCUCGUAGGCGCCAGAACCAGAACACGAGGAAGACGUCCUGACCUCCUAGAAACAUUUUGUCCCUUAUCAUCUUCAGCAAGCCGCCUGAUUAUGGGAAUUCCAAAAGCCAGUGUUUUCCCUGUCCCAGUCUUAGCCCGAGCAAUUAUGUCCCGGCCUUCCAGCGCGGGUAUCAAAACAGCCCUCUGAAUGGGGAAGAGAUGUGUAAUCCCUCGCUUGAAGAGCGAAUCCACGAGCGGCUGAGGCAGACUUAGAUUAGUGAUAGCGAGAUCGUUCUCGUCGCCGCUGCUUCCCUCAUUAACAGCCUCCUUACCGACAUCCUCCUCCUCGUCGCCCGAAUCUAGGGCUGAGAAAUCGCCAAGGCCCUUGAAUGCCUCCUCGCUGAGUACGGAGUUGGGAGUGGCGAUGGCGGCGAGCGGCGCCGGCGUCGAGCCCCUCCGCGUGAGGCACCGGCAAGGGCCGGGAGAGGUGAAGGGCUUGGAGGGCUUGAAGGCGAUGAAAGGGGGAGAGGGUGAGGGACGGCGAGAGAGCUCGAGGGAUGAGGUUUGGUAGAGGGAGGAGACGCCGAGGAUGGAAGCCAUGGCUCGGCGAGGCCUCGGUGGAGGCGAG
RNAcentral lists this unclassified non-coding RNA (1279 nucleotides) under Hevea brasiliensis (rubber tree). Lineage: Eukaryota; Viridiplantae; Streptophyta; Magnoliopsida; Malpighiales; Euphorbiaceae. The record is from RNAcentral.